UACGUAGGGUGCAAGCGUUGUCCGGAAUUAUUGGGCGUAAAGAGCUCGUAGGCGGUUUGUCGCGUCGGCUGUGGAAACUCGGGGCUCAACCCCGAGCCUGCAGUCGAUACGGGCAAACUAGAGUGUGGUAGGGGAGACUGGAAUUCCUGGUGUAGCGGUGAAAUGCGCAGAUAUCAGGAGGAACACCGGCGGCGAAGGCGGGUCUCUGGGCCAUAACUGACGCUGAGGAGCGAAAGCGUGGGGAGCGAACAGG
This 253-nucleotide ribosomal RNA is filed under the name uncultured bacterium. RNAcentral's name for it is "partial 16S ribosomal RNA". It matches the Rfam family "Bacterial small subunit ribosomal RNA", at positions 524 to 776 of the family's 1533-position model. The record is from RNAcentral.